GUAGGUGGCAAGCGUUGUCCGGAAUUAUUGGGCGUAAAGUGCGCGCAGGUGGUUCUUUAAAGUCUGAUGUGAAAGCCCCCGGCUCAACCGGGGAGGGUCAUUGGAAACUGGGGAACUUGAGUGCAGGAGAGGAAAGUGGAAUUCCACGUGUAGCGGUGAAAUGCGUAGAUAUGUGGAGGAACACCAGUGGCGAAGGCGACUUUCUGGCCUGUAACUGACACUGAGGCGCGAAAGCGUGGGGAGCAAACCAGGGAUUAGAUACCCUGGUAGUCCACGCCGUAAACGAUGAGUGCUAAGUGUUGGGGGGGGUUUUACCCGGCCCCCGUCAGUGCUGCAGCUAACGCAUUAAGCACUCCGCCUGGGGUAGUACGGUCGCAAGACUG
Molecule: ribosomal RNA, 383 nt
Filed under: uncultured organism
Description: partial 16S ribosomal RNA
Rfam family: Bacterial small subunit ribosomal RNA
Source: RNAcentral